CUGAUGUUAAUGGUGCUUUCUAUUACAACCACACCCCAAAGCCCAGCUCUACAAAGAUGGAGCAUGAAUGAAAGGAAUGAAGUCACAUGUGAACUGCAGGCAAGGAGUUUUCAGAUUGCUCAAGAAAUGUCAAGUAUCACUGUGUUUUCUAGCAGUAUUUCAAUAUCCUGCAGUGCCCGGGGCACCUUCCUGUACAGUUUGGGAGCCACAGCAUUAUUAGCUCAUUAAUUGGGAGGCCUGUUACUAGAAUGUUUAAGGGAAGAUUAGACUAAGUCACCUGCCUUUUUUUGCUCCUGGGUGCAGGUCCCUUACCACCUCCCCAUCCCACACCUCACCUACUGCCAUGGGGAGUGUUAACCAUCUUAUUUCCUUUUCUGUAAAAUGUGGGAACAUUUUCAACUAUUUAAUCAAAUCUUUAAGAAUUUUAGUGAUUAUAGGAUUGUUUAGGUUUUCUGUUGCUUUUUAAGUUUGCUUAGUUUAUUUUUAUGUAGUACUUUAUUUUACAAAAACUUUCAAAGUUACUGGCAAAAGUUGUUCACAAUAUUGUUUUCUUAAAAACAUAUGAUGCAUUUAAUUUCUAAUAACAUUUGUGUCUUUGCCUUAUUUUUAAAUCAAUUUUACCCUAAUUUCAUUUUCUUCAAAUGUAGGCCUCGUUGAUUCUUUUUACUUUUGUCUCUUUAUGACUGCCUGCCUUUUAUUUAUUUAUUUACUUAUUUAUUUAUUUAGAGACAGAGUCUCACACUGUCACCCGGGCUGGAGAGCAGUGGCACCAGCUUGGCUCACUGCAACCUCCGCCUCCCAGGUUCAAGUGAUUCUCCUGCCUCAGCCUCCCAAGUAGCUGGGAUUACAGGUGCCCCCCACCACGCCCAGCUAAUUUUUGUAUUUUCAGUAUAGACGGGGUUUCACUAUGUUGGCCAGGCUGGUCUCUUUAUUCAGUUCGUUGUUUUCCACGUUAGUCACUUAAUCCAUGUAUCUUUAGCUAUUCUUCUUUCAUAACACAAGAUUUUAAGACUAUAAAUUACCCUCUAAAGGUGACUUUAGCUGCAUUUCACAUAUUUUAAUAUGUACACUUCCAGUCCACUCAGGUCUAAGCGUUUUCUAAUUUCCACUAUUUUUCCUUGAACCAUUGGUUGUUUCAAGUUGUUCUUAAUUUCCAAAUUAUGGAUUUCUAUUAGUUUUAUUUCUAAAAUUUGCUUUAUGCUCAGAUGUGUUCUGUAUGAAGUGAUGAUUUUAAAUUUGAUAAAAUUCACUUUAUAGCUAGCAUGGAAUUGGUUUUAUAAAGAACUGCUUCAUAUUUACCUAUUAGAUCAAACUUCUUAAUUGCUUUUUGUCAUUCAUUUUUUCUGUAUCCUUAUUGGACCUUUUUUGUGGUUAUCCUUUGAUCUAUAAAUUACUGAGAGUAUGUUUUUUAAAAACCUUGAUUUAUGGUAGAUUUGUUUAUCAUUGUGGUCCUGUCCAUUUUUGCUCACAUAUUUUGCAGCUGUAUUAUUUGGUGAGUACAGGUUGAGAAUUGUUACAUCUUCCUGGGGGAACUUUCAUCAGUAUCUACUUUUUGCCCUGCAGUUCAUUUUGUGUGAUUUUUGGCAACCACCGUUUUGAUUGGU
RNAcentral lists this long non-coding RNA (1604 nucleotides) under Homo sapiens (human). RNAcentral's name for it is "HSALNT0081957". Lineage: Eukaryota; Metazoa; Chordata; Mammalia; Primates; Hominidae. The record is from RNAcentral.